RNAcentral lists this long non-coding RNA (5639 nucleotides) under Sus scrofa (pig). RNAcentral's name for it is "lncRNA (ENSSSCG00025059712.1)". The record is from RNAcentral. Lineage: Eukaryota; Metazoa; Chordata; Mammalia; Artiodactyla; Suidae.
UUUUUUUAAGGCUGCACCUGCAGCAUAUAGAAGUCACCAAGCUAAGGUGUCGAAUGUAGCUGCAGCUGCUGGCCACAGCCACAGUCACAGCAACACCGAAUCUGAGACGCAUCUGCAACCUAUGCUGCUGCAGCUUGCAGCAAUGCUCGAUCCUUAACCCACUGAGCAAGGACAAGGACUAAACCCCCAUCCUCAUGGACACAAUGUUGGGUUCUUAACCCACUGAGCCACAAUGGGAACUCCAUGGAGUAAUACCCCUUACACACCAAGCACCUUCUGAGACAUCUUUCCAUGAGAACGACCCUGCAUCAGAAACACAGCAAGCAUCACAGACACUGAUGCAUGAGGCUGGGCUGGAGCAGAGUGAUAGAUGACAAGGUCUGAAGUGCUUCCUUCACAAAUCACAUUCACUUGUCUUUUAUACUCUAAACAUUCAAUCCUCACCUAUCCAGGACCUUUUAGUUUAGAUUAUUAUAAUAUUCAUUAUAUGUUAAUACUAAUUACUACUGAUUCAGAGAAAUUUUUAGUUAUUUUAGUUACCUCUUGAAUUUUUUUUCCCUUACCCUCCUCCUAAACCCUCAAUUCUUUUUAAAAAAUUUUUAUUUCAUUGAAGCAUAGCUGAUUCACAGUGUUGUGCUAAUUUCCGUCAUACAGAAAAGUGACUCAGUUAUAUAAAUUACAUAUAUAUUAUAUACAUUCUUUUCCAUACUCUUUUCCAUGAUAGUUUAUUACAGAAUAUUGAAUAUAGUUCCCUGUGCUUGUCGUUUAUCCAUUGUGUAUAUAAUAGUUUGCAUCUGCUAAUUCCAAACUCCCAAUCCUUCUCCCACCCUUGCCUGUGGCAACCACAAGACUGUUGUCUAUGUUUGUGUGUUCCUGUUUCAUAAAUUAGUUAAUUUGUGUCAUAUUUUAAAUUCCACCUAUAAGUGAUAUCAUACGGUAUUUGUCUUACUCUUUCCGACUUACUUUGCUCAGUAUGAUCAUCUCUAGUUGCACCCAUGUUGCUGCAAAUGGUGUUAUUUCAUAUAUAUAUAUCUCAUAUCUUUUUUAUCCAUUCCUCUGUUGAUGGACAUUUAGGUUUGUCUCCAUGUCUUAGCUAUUGUGAAUUGUGCUACUAAGAACACUGGAGUGCCUGUAUCUUUUCGAAUUAUAGUUUUGUCUAGAUACCAAGGAGUGGGACUGCUGGAUCAAAUGGCAACUCUAUUUUCAGUCUUCUGAGGAAAUUCCAUGCUGUUCUCCAUGGUGUCUGCAUCAACUUACAUUCCUACCAACCAUAAAGGAGAGUUCCCUUUUCUCCACAAUCUCUCCAGCACUUGUUUUUUGUAGAUUUUUUGAUGAUGGCCAGUCUAAUCAGUGUGAGGUAGUACCUCACUGCAGUUCUGAUCUGCAUUUCUCUAAUAAUUAGUGACAAGAAGCAUCUUUUCAUGUGCCUGUUGACCAUCUUUAUAUCCUCUGAAGAGUGUAUUUAGGUCUUCUGCCCAUUUAUUGAAUGGGCAGAUAUUCAUGGGUUGAAUUCUUAUCCUCGACCCUGUACUUUUCUUUUUUCACUUUUCUCUCUCAGAAAACUUAGACACACUGACAGUAAAAGAACUAAUCAAGGGAAAGUUUUUUACAUAGUCCUUCCUAAGAGCAAAGCCCUGGACCAAGUGUUGUGAUGCAGGAGGUAGAAGAUAUCAAGUUUCUGACCUUAAUAAACACGGAACGUAGGUUCGCCCACAGUCAAAGAGCAGGAAAUGAGAACACAUCUCAGGUGCCCCCUAAGAUGAACCUUCCCCGCCCCUUCUUCUGGAGCACAAAUGUCCAGGCCUCAGCUCUACCACCUACUACAUCAGGAGCUCUCAGCACGUAACAGCACAGAGCGUCCACAUCUCUUAGGCAGAACCUUAUGAAACUGCUGAACCACAAUUGUUCUGAACUACAUUGAUCACAACAGCAACCUCACAUGGUUCCAUCUAAUAUAAAAUGGAAGUACAGUUGUCCCAACACUUCUGGGAUCACCAGAAAGUUCGAAUGAAUAUAUGGAGGCAAAGUCCUUAGGAAUUCCAGCAAAUAGUUAACAUGCGAUACAACUUUACUAUUGUCGUGACUACUUUCUGAGACUCGUUUUCCCUCCAUGAAUUUGAACUUCCUGAUUUCUAAGCCUCCUUGUCACUCAUCUCUGAGUUUAUCCUUACCCUAACUCCACCACCUAGAACAGUCCUAGGCACCUAGUCAAUGUUUCAUUCAUGUGUGUUGAUGAAUGAAUAAUGGGGUGGAGCUGAGAGGGAUUUAAGAUCACAGCACAGUGAACCAGGAGGUCAGAAGGACUUGCACAAAGGAGACAACGCAUGAAAUCAGCCAGAGUCCAAUGUGCAGGAAGGCCUAAGGAGACUGUGGUAAAUGGUGUGAGAGAGGGAGAGAAUAAGAAGAAUUCCAUGCAAGGCUGGCCAGGGUCCUAGAUAGAAAAUGACUUGUGUGAAGGAGCAAAAGGCACCUCUCUGGGCCCCUGCAGUUCUGCAAGGUCCUCUAUCUAUAGGUUAGAGGUUAGUCUCCACCUGCUAAGGAUCAGAAGCUGUGGGCAGUACACAACCUGCACAACCUUCCAGAGGCCCUGAUGUGGCUCCCUGAGAGGCAGCAGAGGAUUUCAUUUUUCCAGUAGCACAGGACCUGAGUCUGCCUGGUAAAGUGGCUACUGCCAUCAGCAAAUGCUCUCCUCAAGGCCUCUGGUGGCUGCUCUCUAGAAGAGCUAACAGAAGAGCUCCUCACAGGGGUUGAAUCUCAGCUCUGCUACUAUGUGACCUGCUGAAAAUUAAAUUUAACUUCUCUGUGCUUCAGUUUCCUCAUUUGGAAAAUUAGAUGGUGACACUUCCCCCUAUACUGCCAUGAGGAGCAAGCUGAGAAGCAGAUAUGUGAGACCCUCAGCACAGGCCAGGCUCAGGCAACACCCAGUGACAGUCUCCAGGGACCACAGACAUGGCUGGAUGAUGUUUCCUGCAUUCCUGAUAUGAAGCAUUGGAAAGCUAGCUAUUCAAAAUGAAAAGGCUCUUUAUGACCAUUGGGAAUGGGGCAUUGUAUAUCCUCACACUUGAAAUUACCUAUUUAUUGAGUAUAAGAAGUUGGUGCUACAGUUUUAGCUAAUAAAAUACUAAUAUUUUAACACUUUGGGGAAGCAGAAACUAGAAGGAAGCAUUUAGAUUUUUCAUAUGUUCAUAACUGCACAGCCUCUUCUCUUAUCCUUGGAAGAACCCCAGAAGAUGGUUAAAAUUCUCUUCCUAACUUUACAAAUGAGGUGCAGAAACACAGAGGGGCUGGCCAGAGGGCACUGAAAUAGAACUAGAACCAAGUGAAGCAGAUCAGGUUUUGAGGGACCUGGAGCUUCUAUAGGAGUAAUGACUGAGAAAAAGAAUUCAAUGUUUUGAGCCCAAAAUGAGGUACAGCAUUGGGGAAGGAGGCUAUGCAAGUGAGAGGGCUUAAAGCUGUGAACUUUAGUCACUGCAAGACAGUUCUCCUCUUGCUGGGAUCAGAAGUGAUUUACUGCAUUCAAAUGCCAUGUUAUGGCAUGUGUGGAGGCCUGUCUUCUGUACUUUACUGGCCAUGAGUCUGAAAGUACCGGCCCACCUGACCUCAGCCUCAUGCUCCACAACCCCUGAACACCAUGACAAAAUCCUGGAUGCUAUGAUCUGUUUUGUGUCAAUGUGGCUGUGCUGCUGUACCCAGUCAUUUAAUCAAACUCUAGUAUCAGUACUGCAGUGAAGGAAAUUACCCUAGAUAAUGUGGGUAGGCCUCACCCAAUCAAUUGAAGCAUUUAAGGGCAAAGGCAGGGGCUUCCUAGAGAUAAAUUCUGCAUCAAAUCUGUAACAUAGAAAUCCUGCCUGGAGAGGGAUAAAUUAGGACUUGGGAUUAAUAUACGUACACCACUAUAUACAAAAUUGUUAAUCAACAAAGACCUACUGUAGAGCAUAGGGAACUCUAUUCAAUAUUCUGUGAUAACCAAAUUAAAAAAAGAAUCUGCAAGAGAAUGGAUAUAUGUAUAUGUAUAAAUGAUUCACUUUGCUGUGCACCUUAAGCUAACAAAACAUUGUAAAUCAACUAUACUCCAAUGUAACAUUGGGGUGGGGGGAGUUUUCUUAUGGCUCAGCAGGUUAAGGAUCUGGCAUUGUCACUGCAGUGUCUUGGGUCACUGCUGUGGCACAGGUUCAAUCCCUGGCCUGGGAACUUUCACAUGCCAUGGGCGCAGCCAAAAAAAAAGCAAAACCAAAAACAAAAAAAGAAGUCUUGCAACCUGCUAGCCUGUCCUACAGAUUCUUCAUUUGCCAACUCCACAACUGCAUGACACAUGAUCUAAUUCUUUAAAAUAAGUCAUAUAUAUGUGUAUGUAUAGACACCCACAUAUGUAUAUAAAAUCUUUGUUUACAAAUAUAUGUAUCUUUAAUUUCCACAAUUUCUGUUGACAAAAUUAUAAACAUGAGCACAAUUUUUUUGUAAUAAAGGUCUACUAAUGAGAAGAAAGGAAUUCUUUUCUUGUUUGAGGGAUAACAUUUUGCCUAACAGAAGUUCAAAGUUAGUAUUCUCCAAAUACAUACAUUUAUAAAUGUUACAUAAAUAUAUAUUAUACACAUAAUGCAUGCACAUAUAUAUCUAUAUAUCUCCUAUUGUUCCUAUUUCCCUGAAGAGGCCUGAUGGAUACACUGGGCCCCCUCCUCCUCAGGGGGUGGGUAUGGUCAGCUCUUCACUGGCUGUGUAGUUGGUGGCAAUAACAGCACAGCACUGGGCCAGCUCCUGGGAGAGAUGCUGUUCCAUGCACAAGCAUCCUUGGCUUUUCCCUUCACACUCAUCCCCAUGGGAGAGCUUCCCACUUCAAUCCUUAGACUCGUGCUUCCCAACCUUCCAACACCAAGACUGAAUGCACCAGAUGGGUAGAAGGUCUGGAGGUGUCAUUCUAAAAUAGGACAAGUCAGGCCUUUGCCUUGCACACACCACCACUAGUUCAGAAAUUGCAAACUCUCAGCAAGACGGCUACACUCCACUAAAGAAGUGCUGUACUUGUCUAAUCGUGUCUCAAAAGAAAUCAAGCCAACAUUUCAAUAUUCAUUAGGUUUCACAUCACAAACUAGCUCUUCCAGUUUCCUGGGAAAAGAAUGGACUGUCUAGGAAUACCUUGGGGGUGGGGUUGGCUACUACUACUCUUAGGAGCUGGUCAGCUGCAGGAAGCCCUUGGUCCGGGGCACCAGAGAAGGCAGACCCAUUCUCCCAAAUCUUGGUACUUCCCACAUUGCAGCCAGAGGUCACAGAGGGCCUAGCUGACCUGCAGCCUCCCCCUUUCCAGCCCACCCAUUGGUCAUUAGAAUGCAACAGGAGAUGUGCAGGGGAAAAAAAUAAAAACUAUUCACUUUUUCUAAUCACUAGCAUUUCUCGAAACAGAUUCAAUGAGUGCACGAACUGCAAAAUCUUGGCUGAGAGGGCAAUUAAGGAUUAUGUGAGGCCUUCACUUUUAAAUUCCUUCCAGCUCAUCUAUGUAUGGUUGGUGGUAAAAAAUUCAUCAUUAGCAGGAGAUGCUUUUAAAGUUAAUAUUCUGGUGGAGAGGAAGGGAGAGUAAUGAGUUAUCUGUAUGAUUAUGAAACCACUUGAAAAUAACAGCCAACCACUCUGAAGCACAGAGUAGA